This 196-nucleotide ribosomal RNA is filed under the name uncultured bacterium. RNAcentral's name for it is "partial 16S ribosomal RNA". It matches the Rfam family "Bacterial small subunit ribosomal RNA", at positions 326 to 539 of the family's 1533-position model. The record is from RNAcentral.
ACGCUCGACACCUAGGGGGCAGCAGUGGGGAAUAUUGCACAAUGGGGGAAACCCUGAUGCAGCGACGCCGCGUGAGUGAAGAAGUAUUUCGGUAUGUAAAGCUCUAUCAGCAGGGAAGAAAAUGACGGUACCUGACUAAGAAGCCCCGGCUAACUACGUGCCAGCAGCCGCGGUAAUCUGAGCGGGCUGGCAAGGC